Molecule: ribosomal RNA, 902 nt
Filed under: Schizomida sp. MCZ IZ-89506 106354
Lineage: Eukaryota; Metazoa; Arthropoda; Arachnida; Schizomida
Description: SSU rRNA
Rfam family: Eukaryotic small subunit ribosomal RNA
Source: RNAcentral
UCAUAUGCUUGUCUCAAAGAUUAAGCCAUGCAUGUCUAAGUACGUGCCUAAGAAAGGUGAAACCGCGAAUGGCUCAUUAAAUCAGUUAUGGUUCCUUAGAUCGUACCUUACUACUUGGAUAACUGUGGUAAUUCUAGAGCUAAUACAUGCAGCAGAGCUCCGACCUUCGGGGACGAGCGCUUUUAUUAGACCAAGACCAAUCGGACUUCGGUCCGAAGCUCAUGGUGACUCUGGAUAACUUUGGGCUGAUCGCACGGUCUCGUACCGGCGACGCAUCUUUCAAGUGUCUGCCUUAUCAACUUUCGAUGGUAGGUUAUGCGCCUACCAUGGUCGUAACGGGUAACGGGGAAUCAGGGUUCGAUUCCGGAGAGGGAGCCUGAGAAACGGCUACCACAUCCAAGGAAGGCAGCAGGCGCGCAAAUUACCCACUCCCGGCACGGGGAGGUAGUGACGAAAAAUAACAAUACGGGACUCUAUUGAGGCCCCGUAAUUGGAAUGAGUACACUCUAAAUCCUUUAACGAGGAUCUAUUGGAGGGCAAGUCUGGUGCAGCUCCAAUAGCGUAUAUUAAAGUUGUUGCGGUUAAAAAGCUCGUAGUUGGAUCUCAGUUCCAGACGGGUGGUCCACCCCCGGUGGCUACUGCCUGGCCUGAACAAAUCCAGCCGGUUUUCCUUGAUGCUCUUCACCGAGUGUCUUGGGUGACCGGCACGUUUACUUUGAAAAAAUUAGAGUGCUCAAAGCAGGCGUGACGCCUGAAUAAUGGUGCAUGGAAUAAUGGAAUAGGACCUCGGUUCUAUUUUGUUGGUUUUCGGAACACGAGGUAAUGAUUAAGAGGGACAGACGGGGGCAUUCGUAUUGCGACGCUAGAGGUGAAAUUCUUGGACCGUCGCAAGACGAACUACU